RNAcentral lists this long non-coding RNA (427 nucleotides) under Jatropha curcas. Its description in RNAcentral is "long non-coding RNA (JCUR_LNC002266)". Lineage: Eukaryota; Viridiplantae; Streptophyta; Magnoliopsida; Malpighiales; Euphorbiaceae. The record is from RNAcentral.
GUGGUUGGAGUAGCCAGGGUUCAAGCUGGAACCAAUCAAACCAGGAAGAAAAAGUUUCUGAGGAUUCUGGUGGUGGCUGGAAAAAAGAACCUGGUUCUUCUCAAGGUGGUGGCUGGAAAAAGGAAUCGGGUUCUUCCUCUGAAGGUGGUGGCUGGAACAAAGAACAGAGUUCUGGUGCUCAAGGUGGUGGUGGAGCCUGGAACAAAGAACAGGGCUCUAGUGCUGAAGGCGGCGGCGGUGGCAGUGGCGGCGGCGGCUGGAACAAAGAAACUGGUUCUACUGGUGGUGGUGGCUGGAACAAAGAACAGGUUUCAGGUUGGAGCAAAGGUGCUGGUUUGGGAGAUGCGGUCACAAAUGGAGAUCAGGCUAAGACUUGGAAUGAGUCUAGCGGGGAUCAAUCAUCUGGUUGGAAUCAAUUAAAAGAAGG